RNAcentral lists this ribosomal RNA (273 nucleotides) under Klebsiella pneumoniae. Its description in RNAcentral is "partial 23S ribosomal RNA". It matches the Rfam family "Bacterial large subunit ribosomal RNA", at positions 469 to 746 of the family's 2925-position model. Lineage: Bacteria; Pseudomonadati; Pseudomonadota; Gammaproteobacteria; Enterobacterales; Enterobacteriaceae. The record is from RNAcentral.
AAUACUCCUGACUGAUCGAUAGUGAAACAGUACCGUGAGGGAAAGGCGAAAAGACCCCCGGCGUGGGGAGUGAAAAAGAACCUGAAAACGUGUACGUACAAGCAGUGGGAGCACCUUCGGGUGUGACUGCGUACCUUUUGUAUAAUGGGUCAGCGACUUAUAUUCUGUAGCAAGGUUAACCGUAUAGGGGAUCCGCAGGGAAACCGAGUCUUAAAUGGGCGUUAAGUUGCAGGGUAUAGACCCGAAACCCGGUGAUCUAGCCAUGGGCAGGUU